This 450-nucleotide ribosomal RNA is filed under the name uncultured bacterium. Its description in RNAcentral is "partial 16S ribosomal RNA". It matches the Rfam family "Bacterial small subunit ribosomal RNA", at positions 29 to 507 of the family's 1533-position model. The record is from RNAcentral.
AUGAACGCUGGCGGCGUGCCUAACACAUGCAAGUCGAGCGGCAGCGAGGGGUGCUUGCACCCUGUCGGCGAGCGGCGGACGGCUGAGUAACGCGUGGGAACGUGCCCCAAAGUGAGGAAUAACUGCCCGAAAGGGUAGCUAAUACCGCAUAUUAUCUUCGGAUCAAAGGAUUUAUCCGCUUUGGGAGCGGCUCGCGUCGGAUUAGGUAGUUGGUGAGGUAAUGGCUCACCAGGCCGACGAUCCGUAGCUGGUCUGAGAGGAUGACCAGCCAGACUGGAACUGAGACACGGUCCAGACUCCUACGGGAGGCAGCAGUGAGGAAUCUUCCACAAUGGGCGAAAGCCUGAUGGAGCAACGCCGCGUGCAGGACGAAGGCCUUCGGGUUGUAAACUGCUUUUAUAAGUGAGGAAUAUGACGGUAACUUAUGAAUAAGGAUCGGCUAACUACGUG